CAAAUUAUCUUUAAGUUAAGAAUUUCAUUUACACUGAAGUUUAUACUGUGCAAUUCAGUAUAAUUUGA
Molecule: transfer RNA, 68 nt
Filed under: Anisolampra panfilovi
Lineage: Eukaryota; Metazoa; Arthropoda; Insecta; Blattodea; Blaberidae
Description: tRNA-Val
Source: RNAcentral